AACGAACGCUGGCGGCGUGUUUAAGACAUGCAAGUCGCACGGGGCAGGUUGAGUAGCAAUACGAGAUCUGUUCAGUGGCGCACGGGUGAGUAACACGUGAAUUACAUGCCCUUCAGUGGGGAAUAGCCCAGGGAAACUUGGAUUAAUACCCCAUGGUCUCGCAAGAGUAAAGGUGGCCGCAAGGCUGUCGCUGAAGGAUUGGUUCGCGCCCUAUCAGCUUGUUGGUGAGGUAACGGCUCACCAAGGCUACGACGGGUACCUGGUCUGAGA
This 270-nucleotide ribosomal RNA is filed under the name uncultured bacterium. RNAcentral's name for it is "partial 16S ribosomal RNA". It matches the Rfam family "Bacterial small subunit ribosomal RNA", at positions 29 to 297 of the family's 1533-position model. The record is from RNAcentral.